AGGAGGGUUGUGCAUGGGAGGGAAAGAGGGAGGAAAAGAGGAAUGAAGGAGGGAAGGAUGUGCACAGGAGGGAGGGUUAGCGAAGAAAGGGGGAAUGGAGGAGGGAGGUACGGAGGAGGCAAGCCGGAGGGGCAGGCAGGAUAGGAGGAGAAGAAAGGGGGCAUAAGAGGAAGCAGCACGGAUGGGCGGAGGGGCAGCGAGAGAAGACCGGGCCCUUACAUAGGUUGUGUUUGGACAGAGAGACAUGAGAGGCUGGCAGCUGCUAACAGCAGAGACAGUAAUGACAUGGUGGCUUCACAAAACUACUGUCUCAACUCCAUCAACAGUAUCUUUGAAGAAUUUGGUGAUGGCGUAGCCUUCCUGAUCAGACAGAGCCUGGACCAGAGCCACAGUGGAAAUCGUGUACUUGGCAAGCAAGCCCCUUCGGCAUUGUUCCACAUGAUCCCAAGUGAACCAAGCAAGAGUUAUUUGACCUACUUGGAUUCUGUGGAAAAUAUCUAUUGACAACACCAGGGGAACUUGAGCAAUGAUUUCUUUUGUAGCAUCCUCUCAUUGCAAAUGCAUCAGCCUGGGGAACCUCAGACAGCCCAGGACUGGAUUAGGAAUCCUGCCUUCAGGAGGACAAGUAGCAAAAAUGAAUUCUUCAGUUCUGAAUGCCAUGGCCCUAACUCCUCCAGGUCUGAAACACAAAGCUUCCCUUCCUUGUACUGCAUUCAAUUGUAUCUGCUUCUUACUCACCUGAUGUUCUCCUAAGAUUUUCUGAUGUCAUUACUGUGUUGCAGUUACUAUGAGAAAGCAGGUAUGUCUCAGGCACUGAAUCAAAUACUUAUUCUGGACAGGAUUUAUGUGGUUCUAGACAGGGCCCAUGCACUCUGCACCCUGCUACUGUAUCAGCUCUGACUAUUGGACGACAUUGUAUCAGACACUGUGAAAGCGAGCUUUUUAGCUUAGAAAGGGAAAGUGAAAUCUACCUGACAUUACUCAAGACAUCAGACUUUGUUUCUUGUCACAGUAACAGGUGACAGCUGCAAUCCAGGAUUUCAGCAUAUCCAAUGACCCAGCGUGGAAAUUGACUUCAGGACAUUCACUGAGGAUCUUCCCCUACCAGGUCAAAAAUGUGUUUUUCCAACACCCAGGAUCAUGUCAUCCAGCACAGAGAUAAUCUGCAUACCUUAAGGGAGUGAUAAUUGUCUUCUGUAUUCUUUUCUAUGCCCAACCUAUCACAAGUUUGAAAACUAAAAUCAAGUCUUGCUUGAAGUAUGUUUGAACUCAGGGAGUUACUUGAUUCUACUUGUCAUUGCUAUGAAGUAUUUUUGGCUUCUCUCCUCCUGUCCUAAGCUUCUGUCUAGUAUAAGUCUCUGCAGACAUCUUGCCUUCUUCUUUCUCCCAAGCCAGAGAGCCCCUGUUGGCUAAGUGUAUGACAUACCCUACCAUCAUCAAUCCUAGAUUAAGUAGGGAAGGAAAAACCUUGAGAUGUAAUUCCUUCUGAUGAGGAGAUAAAUACUCCUAAAUAUGUAAAAAAAAAAAAAAAAAAAAAAAAAAAAAGAAAAAGUGGGAAAGCUACGUGUAGAAUAAAGUCUGACAGAAAAUCAAGAACUUUUCUUUGAGGUAGACAAGUACACAUAGCCAGUGACCACUUCAAAGUAAUUAAAUCAGUGACUGAAAAGGCUUUAGUGAAGAUUACCAAUGGAUGAGCUCAUGAGCUUGACUGUCAGGAUGCAGGCACAUUCCUUGGUGGCCCUGAUGGGUCAGUCUGUUGAUCUCAGUGUGCUGGGAGUUUGAGGGAUCAUAGUCCUCUUGUGUCAGUGUGGCCAGGAGAGAGCCACAGGAGGUGCAGAUACCACACACCUCAUGUAUUACCUAACCCUAGCUGCAUUCCUUGGUUGUUACAAAAUCUUGCAACACAGUGACUCCUUCCUUUUGAUCUAGAGCCUGGAGAUUUGACCUCUUGGAUGUGGUUAACCCCAGACAGCAAUAAGUAACACUCAGUGACUCUCCCACUGCCUCCUGGCUCCGAUGUGAUGGGGAGGAGAAACAUCUGGGUUUACAUAAGAACAGUUUAAUAAGUCAAAUAAAACAUAAAACACUAAACAUCAAACAUAAAAUAAUAAUAAUAAUAAUAAUAAUAGUAAUAGUAAUAAUGAAAAUAUCAGCAACAAAGAGAGAGAGAAAUAAAAAUAAAACCCAAGAAAGAUAAAUGAUUCACAAUACAAUUGCUCAUCACCUGUUGACCAACAUUCAGUCCAAGCCUGCGCAGCAAUUGCCUCCUCCUGUCAACUCCACUCAUUUAUGUACUGGGCAUGGUAUUCUGUGGUAUGGAAUAUAACUGUGUCUAGUUUGGGUCAGCUGUCCUGGCUAUGAUCCUUUCUGGCUGCUUGUGUACCUGUUCACUAGCAAAGCUUGGGAAACUGGAAAGUCCUUGAUUUAGAGUAAUUAUUUCUCAGCAACACUUAAAACAUCAACGUGUUAUCAAUAUUAUUCUUAUACUAAAUGCAAACCCUACAGUAUUGUACCACCUACUAGGAAAAAUAAAAUCUCAGCAGCAGCCAGGAUAGCGGAGAGAAUGUUUUCCCCAUCAGUGACCCCAUCAGAUACAACUGAGGAUGUAUCCAAGUCUACUACCACUUCCUAUCAAAAUGGUUGUUUUAAUUUCCUAAAUAGCCUCACUUGCUAUUGACUUUCCAGUCCCAAAAUGCUGACAGGGCACUGAGAUAGGGGAACUCUACUUUGGGUCUCUUCAUGACUAGUUAUUUCCUCUACUUGCUCAACAACAUGCUUACACACUAGUCCUCUCACCAAAAAGGGCUGAACUUCUUUUCAUUAAUAUUGUACUUCUCAUUCUAGAAAUCUCUUUUUGCUGCUGAUCUGCCCCACCUGCAUUUGCAGGGCUCUUCUCAUAGAGCCUGAUGUGAUGCUCAAAAGGAUCUUGUCUUUGUCAUCAUUGACAAUAUAUGACAACAGAGAAAGUUGUGUCUGAUGUAACCAACUUUGCAGUCUCAUUUUAUGUGGCCCAUUGUGUGCAGGAAACUCUUCUGGCUCAGGAAGUCUGCCUGCAUCUGUGCUGCCACCGAAAGAGCUGCUGCUCUGCCCACAUACAUGUUUUUUGCUCAGUUCAUCUUCCAAAAAUGGAGACACUGUGAUGGCAGGUGUGGUUAUAGGUCCAGGGCCUUUUAUAUUAGUUGUUUAAAGUUGUUCAGCUUAAACAGUUCAAAGACAGAAUCACAGAAUAUGCUGCAUUAGAAGGGACCCAUCAGGAUCAUUGAGUCCAACUCAUGGACUCAUGACCUCUCUUUCCUAUUCCUUGCAGUGAAACCAGGCUGGCAGUUUACAAAAUACCAGAGGAUGGGAAAGUGGGAUGAAGUUCAACCAGGAUACUAGUUAACAUGCCUGUAAUAAGUGUAGACAUAAACAGGAUGCCCUAUGUUUUGUGUUUUUUGCAGUUUGUAAUCCAAAUUUUGAAUGUGGUACCUGUGACCCAGUUCUGCACAGGUCUUGUACUAAUAAAUGUAGAUGAAAGCUGCAUGAGGGGCAUGUGUCGGUUCUUGUUUGAGAAAAAUCAAUGAAUAUACCUGGAAUUUCAAGCCUGCAGAUACAGCAGAUGGAGGGGGAAAUGGGAGAAUUUUUCCUCAUUGAACUCUAAUGAAAAAGAAUACAGAUGAAACAAGCACAUUCCAUAGUCUUAAAUAUAUUUUCUAACCUUGACUCUUCAAUAGGAUACAGUUUUAUUUUCAUGAAAUUUCUGAGGAGUGAGAAUGGAGAACAUAAGCCAUAGACUCAAUUUUUGCUUAGCUCCAAGUCUCAGUGCAUUUUAUUGUAGAAGAAUAACCCUUGCAAAAGAAUUUCACUGACAAGGAUCCAGACAGAAGUAAACUUGUAUUAAUAGAUAAUUUCAAGUACCCAGGAUUAAUGGCUCAAAUACUACUGAAGGAUGUAGCUAAGAGUAGCAAAUUCUUGUUACCACAGAGGACUGCUUUAAGCAGUAGGUGGCUUUGCUGGUGUGCAAGAGAUUUAGUUCUAAGUAACAAAUGAGAUCUGAUUUAAGAAGUAAUUAUAGCAGACUCUAUCUGUCACAGUAGCUGCAAGAUAGUGAAGAUUAGUGUAGUAAUCUUAACUGUAAAAUGGCUGUCCACAGGCAUAAAACCAUGAAAUCAAAGGCAAAGUAUUUUAGAAAAUAAAAUCCUUAAAAUCAGCCUGGUAAAUAUUUAACUACACUGUAGCAUAAUGAUUGAAAGAACAAACAUACUGCAUUAUAUAGUUUAUUUAAGUAAUAAAUAAGCCUAUAAAGGUUAAAAGCAGCCCCCCAUGAUGUCAGGGGGAAGCAUCGAGAACAGUGUCAUCUUAAUUAUGUAGCUGAUAGAUGUGUCAGAGAAGUUCUGUGAGGAAAUGUAAAAUUCAAGUGAUCAGAAAGAGGAUAAAUAUUUGGAAUCAAAGACCUGCAGCCAUCAAGAGAUGCAUUAAGCUGUCUUGAGAGAAUGAAUCAAAGUCAGCAAGAGCUCUAACCUCUGCAGAUGUUGCCAUUUAAAACUAGCAGAACACCAGGGCAUGAAUUUCUGAAAGGCAAGUCACUGGCAGAAACUCUCAUGAAAAUAUUUAGUACUAAAAAAAAUUGCUAAUUCAAGUUACAACUUUCUGUUUCUUUGAGACUGUAAUAAAAGUAGCAAGAAUAAAAAUCCAGCAGGAUCCACUUAUUUGCCUCUUCCUCAAAAGAAUGGAGAAACUCUGAGGAGUAUUUUUCUAACCUCUUCUUAGAAAGUUGAAUGGUGGAGAUUAUACCUCAACAUUUUGGUGACCUAUUUCUGUCUGUAGCUAUCCAUAGAGUCAGAAGGUUUUCCUGUUUUAUCCUAAACCUUUCCAGCUGUGAUUAAAGCCAGCAAGGUUCUGCCAUGCCUUCAGUGUCAUGAAGCACAACCAUGAAGAGGGAUCCCUGAUUCUCAGAAUUUUCUACAUAUUGGAAUGUAGAGAUAUCACCUCCAUACCUGCCAUCAGCCUUUAUUUUCUAGAGCAAAUAUUACCUCUCCCUUUUUCAAUAAUUUUCCUUAUUUUAAACCAUUUUAAAGUACUCUUCUUUAUGUACUAUUGUAUUAGACUACUCCAAACAGAGUCUUCUGAAAGCUGAGUUGAGAAAAACAAUUACUAAUUCUGCCUUACAUAUGACAUAUAUAUUAGAAUGUUCCAGGAUGAGUUUUUCUAUUUUUUUCCGUCAGUGUGGUAACAUUGAUUCUAUUCAGAAUAUGGUUUAUUGUAACAGCCUGGUCUCUUUCUACAGAGCUGUUAGUAUUCUCAAUUUUGUAUUUAUGCAUUUGAUUUUCUUCUAGCUUCAGUAUAGUACCUGGUCCUUGUAAUUAUUGUGUUUCAUCUUAUUGAUUACAGACCACUUCUCCCAUUUUUCAAAGUUGUUUUGAAUUCCAAUCUUUCGGCUUCCUUGCACCCCUUUUCUUUGGCAUUUUUUGAGUGCGCUCUCCAUUCCAUCAACCAAGUCUUAAGUGAAAAUUUUGUGUUGGAUCAGAUUUUGGCCAGACCCUAGCAGAAUUCUAUAUUAUAUAUCCUUUCUAUUUGAAAACAAAAUAUGAAUAAGUCUAGGAGUAUCUUCUGCAAGCAAUUAUGCACAUAUUGUGCGCAGCAAGUUAGCCCAGAACAAAAUGUUUCUGUACCCUGUUAAUGAGAACGUCAAGUAAGGUAGUGCCCAAAGAUUCCCAUAAAUCAAUACACAUCUCUUCUACUGCCUUUUUUGCUAUGAAGAAGAUAACUGUUAAAAGAAGAAAACACAGCAGUUUAUCAAACUUUUUUUUGCAACAAAUCUUUCCUGCCUGUUUGUUUUUCACUGACCCUCCAGGUGCUUAAAAAGUGUCAAUUUAAUAAUUUAUUAAAUUAUUGUUCUUGAUGUUGAAAUGAUGUUUACUGCUGAUUUUUCCUUUCUGAAGAUGAUAUUUUAUUCUCCCCUAUUCAGGCUACCUGUUGUUCAAGAAUUCUUGAAAGCAGUGAUGGCAAUGCAGUGUUAUAAAUGUUUUAAUUCUAGGACCAUUUCACAGAAAAUAUCUGAAGUAAAUAUUUAGAUACAGUGUGAACAUAAAAAUUGUGUCACUGCUCUCGAUAUUAAUAUUUGACACUUGCUUCAAAAGGGGAAAUUUAUGUAAACACUUUAAAAGACAAAAUUUGCAAGACAGAAAAUAAAGUAAAACAACUUUUCAGAAGAAAAGUGGUAUAACUACUUAACUACUUUAUUAUUAUUCUUUGUAGCUUUAAGAGACUUUUCCUUAUAAAUAUUGCUAAAGCUUAUUAGAAGAAGCUAGUUAGAUACUUACUAAUUUUCUCUAUCCAAACUGCAUUAUAAUAAAUUACUGGUUGCCAAAUUGCUUCUUUGAAAUAAGUCAGUGGCAAAAAGAAUUAAAACAUGAACAAAAGAAUAGAGGUAGUAAGACAUAGAAAUAUUGAAAUAUACUGUAUUUACACACAACUGGCCAUGUUUAUCCCCUUACCCCUCAAUUUCCCCACUCUUACUCCUCCCCAAAUCACCUGAACAUCUCCCUUUUCCUGCCUCUGGAUCCUCCCCUAAACAUUAUGUAGUAAAUCCUGCAUAACUUGACAAUGCUUUUCUCCUGUAUUGAAUGAUGUAUCCUACUCCUAGGCAGCACCUUUGCUUGAUCUGAAAGGGGAUCUAGAGAGCUGCUUUCUUGCAGCACCUUGUCAUGCUGUCUUUUCCACCUGGAUACUGGGUCCCUGCUAGGACAGUCCAGGGAGGGGCCUGCAUAAAGUGUUUGUUUCUUGGUGGUCCUUGGUUCAGGUUGUGCUGUGGCCAGCAGGACCAGGGCAAUGAUUUUCCCCUUGUACUCGGCACCGGUGAGGCCACACCUGGAACCCUGUGUUCAGUUUUGGGCCCCUCACUACAAGAAAGACGCAGGGGUGCUAGAGAGUGUCCAAGAAGGGCAAUGGAGCUGGGGAAGGGUCUGGAGUGCAUGUCCUAUGUGGGAGCUGGGGUUGUUUAUCCUGGAGAAAGCGAGGCUCAGGAACCUUACUGCUCUCUACAGCUGCCUGAGAGGAGGCUGUAGCCAGGUGGAGUUCAGCCUCUUUUCCAAGCUAAUCUGAGACAGGACAUGAAGAAAAGGCAUCAAGUUGCACCAGGGAAGGUUUGGAUUGAAUAUGAAGAAAAAUAUCUUUGCUGAAAAGGUUUCCAGGACUUUAAACAGGCUGCCCAAGGAAGUAGUGGAUCACCAUCUGUGGAUGUAUUUAAAAGGUGUGUAGAUGGGACACUUAAGGACAUGGUUUAGUGGUGGACUUGUCAGUGUUGGAUUAAAAAUUGAGCUCAGUGAUUUUACAGGUCUUUUCCAAUGUAAAUGAUUCUUUGAUUGUAUGCAUCUAAGUUCCUGUCUGCUACUCUGCCUUCCCUGUAUUCCUCUGGACUUGAGGAGAUUGGUCCUCAGUGAUCUGAUGGCUUCUGUGAUGGGUCUGAGUGUAGCCCAACAGGGCAUAAUAUAAGUUCCCCAUAAUUCCACUGUCUCUCUGAGCAUCCUUGUGGUGUGCAGGUGGGGUUUAUCAUACAACUGAAUAGCUCUUCUGCCACAGAUAGAACUCCAGAUAAUUAUAAGAAGGAAAAACCAACAAAAACCCAAAGCACCCCUCUUCCACCAAAUAAUUGUCACCUUUCAAUUGUAAAUGAUUUUUGUUAGUGAAAUUUGGACCCCUCUGGAGGAAGGCACCCAUUUGCUGCUGGUCUUGUAAGUACACGUAUUUGAUGCUAUGAGUUGUGGGAGGUGAUUACUGGAAUCUGUUCCUUCUUCAUUUAUAAGGAAAAAAUAUCAGAAAAACAGUGAAGAAAAUGUGCCAUUUUACAUUGAUCAUACUAUUAUGGUUUCUUUAGUGUUUUCUUUUUUCCUUGUUUUUUAUGAUGAUGGAAAUAUAAAUGAUUUCUUUUUUGUAAAGUGCUUCAUGUAGAUUGCCAAGACUCACUUCCAAAGAGUUGAAUGUCACAUUCUAAAUCAUAACAAAAUUCUUCUCUUUUCAUCAAGCUUCAGUUAUUAUGGGAGUUAAUAAAAGGGAGUUGCUUUUGGAUACUGCUUGGUACUACGUGGUGCUCAAAGAAGCUGUUGCUAAGAAAUUUUAGAGUUUGAGUUUUCCUUCUUAACAGAAGAAUAUGGCCAUGAACAGCUCUCCAUCUGCUUUAGAAGAACACCUUCAUUUAUAUCUGUAUGUUUAAAUUAAUAUGUAUAUUUAAAUUAAUAUUUUAGAGCACAGACAAAGUUGCCUUGCAUGAAAGACAGCUUUCCUAGGCAGUGAAUUUACUGUACGUUGAAAUAAACAGCUCACGGAAGUGGAAAGAACCAAUAUGAUAUCAUGCAGCCUGCUCACGUUAGUCUUCACAUGAAGAACUACUAAAGAGUUGUAAUGUCAGAGUUAUGUCUCUUGUAACAGUGGAUAAACAAUUCUGCACUGGCUAGAUGCCUUCUGCUGCUCUCAAAGCUGAACAGGAAAUCUAAUUCAUCUCAUGUGGUUUCCUGAUGAAAUAUAUACUGGCAAUGACAAACGUAUGAGCACCGCUAAAUUCAGUUGCUAGAUAGUGAAAGAUAUCUUCUGGCUUUUCGUGUUUUUGCUUUUUUUUCCUAAAAUGAAACUUUAAACUUGCCAAACAAAUGACUAAAGGUCAACAUAAAACAUAAUAUGGAAAUUGCUUCUCUCUUUACUUACCUGAAAAAUAACAACUAAAACAUAAUUAAGAGAGAGAGAGAAAGAGAUUCCUGGAUUAAUGUGUAUAUUUUACAUAUUAAAAAAUGGAAGAUAUUCUCACUGAAGUAACAUCUGUCCUGAAGCUUCACAAGGGCACCUCACAGCUCUCGAGUAAGCUCUGCAUUGGUGCUUAACUGAGAUGACUAAAGAGCAUGAAUGAAGUGCCAAACUCUUUGGGUACCAUUAAGUCUCCCUCUUUGGGAAGGUAUGCAUUCAAUCACUAGGGAGAGAGAACAGCCAGACAGUGGCUGCUGAAACCACACAGUUUCAGGUGAAAUAUUUGGCUAUGAACAGCUAAACUAUUUUGUCAGUUUGGCAAUAAAUUUUAUUCUAAGUACAAUUCCCUGGUCCACAUCCAAAUGCUGACACUAGCUAUUUUUCUUGGUUGAAACAGAGUGAGAAGGGAAACAACUGGGAUGACCAAAGUUAAACCUGACACCUUCUGUUUCAUGUGAUCAGUAAAUAUUUUGUGCAAAGUUCUUGCAGUCUCUGUGCAAAACUGAGAUAGAUGGCACAGCAAAGCAGGUAGCAGCUCUAGAAGCAAAAAACUGGCACGCUGGAGCUUAUUCCAGUUUGAUCCCUUCUGCUAUUCUGUAUCAGAGGACAUAUUGUAGAUUCUUUAUUUUCUACUUUUAUCUAAAAAAUUAUUUUUGUUUUGACAGAGUUUGUAAUCUCCCAUUUUUAGUUACAGAAAGAAUCCAGAAACAUUUAACAUCUGUGCUUUCUCUCAGUUUGGUUGUUCUUAACAAUGCUUGUCUCAGAAAAGCCAUGAUCUUUCAAAUCAUAGUGGUCUAUACUGAUCUCACUGGUCAUUGCAGCACUAGCCAUUAGAAAACACAAUUCUACACUAACUAAUUAAAGUCUUCUGGGUUUGGCAUUUAGUUUUGUGUGCUGAUUCACAGCAAUGUACUUCCUUGUGCUGGGUUCAUAUGCAGCUGUGUGGCUUCACUACUGCCUUUAGCCAAUUUGAGAAGGUGCUCUUCCCAAAAGAAUGAUUCUUCUUGCCCAGAUGUGCAUCACCACUGAUUUCCUUGUGGUUGUACAGGUGUGGCCAUGCAGCAACUUGGAGAAACUCCCUUAACCCAGCUGGAAAGUCCAGCCACACAAAAGAUAUUUUCUCAGCUAAGCUGUUUCAGCUGACUGUGGUGAUGAAGCAGCACACCCCCAAUACAAAGGGAAGGUGAGAAGAUGUGGCCAGGCACAAGCUAGAAUUGCACCCUUUCAGCAGCAGUGGAGAUCAGCUACAAGAGGUUCUUGAUCAUCCCAGUCACAAGUUAAUGACUAUUGGUGCCACUUCUGCUAUUUGGCUUCUGGGGAGAGGAUGUUUAUGUCAAUAGCUGUCUAGCUGUGCCAUAGUUUGGGAAGAACCUGUUGGUGUUAGCCCAAGUGAUCUUCUAAUUUCAGCAGAAGAAGACCCAAAUAUCUGAAGAAUGUGCCUGGGAUGUGACUCUUCAGCAAACACAAAAUGCACUCCAGAAAAGAAGCACUGAAAGUAUCACUUUUGUAUGAAUGAACCUGCCCUACCUACUUGAGCUUUUUAGCCUAUAUGUGAAGGAAUGCAAGAGUUAGCAGUGACUGUAAAUGAUCUCAGUGCCCAAGAAAGCCUUACUCCUCAUGCCCUUACUCCCUUCCUUCCCGAUCCACGUGUUCUUGUCUCCUCAAGCACCCAUCCUUCCUUGUUCAGGUUAUAACAGGCUUUGUUGUGAAUUGACAUGACCCACAGCUGGCUGACAGUGGUUCCCCAAAAGACCUCAUUAGCUGUGGAGCUGGCAUAGUGCAAGCGUCAGGAGUGAGUGGUCAGUGCUGGGGCAGAAAGGAAGGGCAGGUAGUAGUGUGUGCAUCAGCUGUGGAGGGGUCUUGAGUCAGCUUCCUAGAGAUGUGGAGCCACCCCUCAAAGAUGAACAGUCUGUCUGGCAACCAAUGACAGUGAAAAUGCUAACUAAUAAGGUUCUAUAAACUCUGGUUAACAGUGUUGCUAAAAUUACUAAUGAAGGCAAAAACUGGUAAGUAAUGCUCUUCAAGCUUGUCUUUGCUGCAGGUAUACCACUGAUAAUGGAGUAAUAUGCAGCUGAAACUUAAUUGGAACACUAAGGAAAGCUUGAGCUAUUUAUGGUAUUUAAUAAUUUAAUAGUACAAAGUGCACUGAUUGUAGUAGUAUUCAUUUUUCUGUUUCAUUUAAUUAUUAUUUCUAUUUCUUAAUUAAUAAUGCAAGAGUGUAUUUUUGUGUAGCACUUUUUUUGUGUGCAGUUCCCAUUUUGCACCAGUAUUUAAUCAAGAUCUUCCUUCUGUUUGUAAAAAAUGAGUACAUUCUGGUAUACACACAUUCUGAAAAUUUGCUUGUGUCUGUAAUCUGUGAGAUCCCUGCAAGGCUCAUAAAGAGGAUCUUAUCACUAAAUGUUUACUCCAGGAUGUGUAAGAGCCCUCUAAUUUUUACAUUGUUAUGUUUACAACUGUCAGGUAAAACCAGGAGUUUUAUUUCUCCUGAUGUAGCUGGGAUAUCAAAGCGCAGAGAUGCUCAAGUCUGUAACUCAAAAAGGUUAUUUAAGAUCACAGAUCCCACUAGAUGACUUGCCUAGAGUGCUAAGAAAAGCUUUUGUGUAACAAGCACUGAACUUAUGUCUACCAAAUCCAAGAGGAUCUUCCUUACUACUGGACUUCACUGUCUCACUAAGAUUGCAGUAAAGAGUUCUUUAAAGCUGGGUUUAGAGUAUUUUGUUGAGUGGGAAGAAAGAUUUUCUUCUAGGGCAAGUUUUGAAUGUAGGUCACAGGAGGGCAGAAAGGAUAUAGAAUAUCUGCUGAUGCACAUGAUGGCUUUUACGGGCAAGGAAAAUGAAACCUGUAAUGUUUUGGAGGAAAAAAAACAACUUUAUCCAUGACAUGAAAAACAAGCUUAAAUUAAGGAAUACUGGGUUAUACUGAAGCCCUAAGGGACUGAAGUCAGUAGAGAAUAGUCAUCCCACUGGAAAAAUAAAGGAGGUACUCCAUAGAUUAACUUAGCAUUGCUCUAGAACAAGAUGUUGUUGCUUAGAAAGCCAUUGUGCUGACAGCCUGUGCACCUACUAAGAAUGUAUAGCAUGGAAAAAAGUAUAAAAUAAUAAAUUUUAAUUGUAUGUCUUAAAUGUGAAGAAAUAAGAAUGCUGCAUUUGUGUAAUGGGCUUGGUUUUGUGUAUUGAUGCUAAAUUACUUCUCAGUGUUUAAGAUCAUUUAUGAAUAUAAUCAUGUGUCUAAAUUUUGUACCUCUAUUUUAUAUGAAGUAAUUUUGGUUGAGAUAUUAUUAGUGGACCUUCUUGCAAUUUUUAUGGCUAAGAAAGCAAAUUUUAAAUUUAAGUGCAUAAAAUGAGGAGCAAGCAUUUCCUAAAGAACUUGCCCUGACAUAAAGAAAUUCUUGGAGGGACCUCUAAUCUCCUAUGCUUGAUAUGGGAGACCAGCCUAAAGGAAGAAAAGAAGGUUAAUUCUCAACAGGUGGCAUAGACAGAAUAUACUUUGUUAUGACCUGCCUUGUUCUGGAAGUUUGAAGUAUCAUUGGUAACAGAACUGGACUUUAGGUCUGUGCAUGACCUAGUCAGAUAGUCUUACUUUCCAGAAUACAGUUUCACUCAAUGAACUUUUUAUAUUUUCAUACUGUAGUAUUUGAAUUUUAAUUUUGUUUUAAUUUUUAUGACAUUUUAUUAAUAAAACUGAUAUUAUGAAAUGCAUUGUAUAUAGAAAAAUGAGUAUUCAAAUGUUGUCAUUUUACCAGUUCCAUGAGUAAUGUAUUUUCUAUUCACAAUAUUUUCUUCUAUAGUCUAUAUAAAUGUGCUUUUUAUAUGUUUUAU
Long non-coding RNA from Haemorhous mexicanus (house finch), 12533 nucleotides. RefSeq lists it as uncharacterized. Lineage: Eukaryota; Metazoa; Chordata; Aves; Passeriformes; Fringillidae. The record is from RefSeq and is a predicted model, not a curated record. The transcript is spliced from 4 exons.